UACGGGGGAGCAAGCGUUGUUCGGAUUACUGGGCGUAAAGCGUGCGCAGGCGGCUUGCAAGACAGAUGUGAAAUCCCCGGGCUUAACCUGGGAACUGCAUUUGUGACUGCAUGGCUGGAGUGCGGCAGAGGGGGGUGGAAUUCCGCGUGUAGCAGUGAAAUGCGUAGAGAUGUGGAGGAACACCGAUGGCGAAGGCAGCCUCCUGGGCCAGCACUGACGCUCAUGCACGAAAGCGUGGGGAGCAAACAGG
RNAcentral lists this ribosomal RNA (250 nucleotides) under uncultured bacterium. RNAcentral's name for it is "partial 16S ribosomal RNA". It matches the Rfam family "Bacterial small subunit ribosomal RNA", at positions 524 to 776 of the family's 1533-position model. The record is from RNAcentral.